GUGCUCGCUUUGGCAGCACAUAUACUAAAAUUGGAAUGAUACAGAGAAGAUUAGCAGGGCCCCUGCAUAAGGAUAACAUGCAAAUUUGCAAAUUCGUGAAACAUACCUUU
This is a small nuclear RNA of Sorex araneus (European shrew), 110 nucleotides long. The record is from RefSeq and is a predicted model, not a curated record. NCBI's taxonomy places the organism in Eukaryota, Metazoa, Chordata, Mammalia, Eulipotyphla, Soricidae.